UACGUAGGGGGCUAGCGUUGUCCGGAUUUAUUGGGCGUAAAGAGCGUGUAGGCGGCCAGGUAGGUCUGGUGGGAAAACUCGAGGCUUAACCUCGAGAUGUCAUCGGAAACCAUCUGGCUAGAGUCCGGAAGAGGAGAGUGGAAUUCCCGGUGUAGCGGUGAAAUGCGCAGAUAUCGGGAAGAACACCCGUGGCGAAGGCGGCUCUCUGGGACGGUACUGACGCUGAGACGCGAAAGCGUGGGGAGCGAACAGG
RNAcentral lists this ribosomal RNA (253 nucleotides) under uncultured bacterium. Its description in RNAcentral is "partial 16S ribosomal RNA". It matches the Rfam family "Bacterial small subunit ribosomal RNA", at positions 524 to 776 of the family's 1533-position model. The record is from RNAcentral.